UACGUAGGGUGCGAGCGUUAAUCGGAAUUACUGGGCGUAAAGCGUGCGCAGGCGGUUCGUUGUGUCGGCGGUGAAAGCCCCGGGCUCAACCUGGGAAUGGCCGUUGAAACUGGCGAACUGGAGUGUGGCAGAGGGGGGUGGAAUUCCGCGUGUAGCAGUGAAAUGCGUAGAGAUGCGGAGGAACACCGAUGGCGAAGGCAGCCCCCCUGGGCUAACACUGACGCUCAGGCACGAAAGCGUGGGGAGCAAACAGG
RNAcentral lists this ribosomal RNA (254 nucleotides) under uncultured bacterium. Its description in RNAcentral is "partial 16S ribosomal RNA". It matches the Rfam family "Bacterial small subunit ribosomal RNA", at positions 524 to 776 of the family's 1533-position model. The record is from RNAcentral.